This 1924-nucleotide ribosomal RNA is filed under the name Acinetobacter baumannii 24975_5. RNAcentral's name for it is "bacterial LSU rRNA". It matches the Rfam family "Bacterial large subunit ribosomal RNA", at positions 1021 to 2925 of the family's 2925-position model. Lineage: Bacteria; Pseudomonadati; Pseudomonadota; Gammaproteobacteria; Moraxellales; Moraxellaceae. The record is from RNAcentral.
AACAAUCCAGACCGCCAGCUAAGGCCCCAAAAUCAUAGUUAAGUGGGAAACGAUGUGGGAAGGCAUAGACAGCUAGGAGGUUGGCUUAGAAGCAGCCACCCUUUAAAGAAAGCGUAAUAGCUCACUAGUCGAGUCGGCCUGCGCGGAAGAUGUAACGGGGCUAAAACUAUGUGCCGAAGCUGCGGAUGUAUACUUUGUAUACGUGGUAGGGGAGCGUUCUGUAAGCCGAUGAAGGUGUGUUGAGAAGCAUGCUGGAGGUAUCAGAAGUGCGAAUGCUGACGUGAGUAACGACAAAACGGGUGAAAAACCCGUUCGCCGAAAGACCAAGGGUUCCAGUCCAACGUUAAUCGGGGCUGGGUGAGUCGACCCCUAAGGCGAGGCCGAAAGGCGUAGUCGAUGGGAAAAUGGUUAAUAUUCCAUUACUUCUGUGUAAUGCGAUGAGAGGACGGAGAAGGCUAAAUCAGCCUGGCGUUGGUUGUCCAGGUGAAAGGAUGUAGGCAUGUAUCUUAGGCAAAUCCGGGGUACUCUAUGCUGAGAUCUGAUAGCAAGCUGUACUUGUACAGCGAAGUGGUUGAUGCCAUGCUUCCAGGAAAAGUCUCUAAGCUUCAGUUACACAGGAAUCGUACCCGAAACCGACACAGGUGGUCAGGUCGAGUAGACCAAGGCGCUUGAGAGAACUCUGCUGAAGGAACUAGGCAAAAUGGUACCGUAACUUCGGGAGAAGGUACGCUGUUGUUGGUGAUGGAACUCGCUUCCUGAGCUGACGACAGCCGCAGAAACCAGGCCGCUGCAACUGUUUAUUAAAAACAUAGCACUCUGCAAACACGAAAGUGGACGUAUAGGGUGUGAUGCCUGCCCGGUGCUGGAAGGUUAAUUGAUGGGGUUAGCGUAAGCGAAGCUCUUGAUCGAAGCCCCAGUAAACGGCGGCCGUAACUAUAACGGUCCUAAGGUAGCGAAAUUCCUUGUCGGGUAAGUUCCGACCUGCACGAAUGGCAUAAUGAUGGCGGCGCUGUCUCCAGCAGAGGCUCAGUGAAAUCGAAAUCGCUGUGAAGAUGCAGUGUACCCGCGGCUAGACGGAAAGACCCCGUGAACCUUUACUGCAGCUUGACACUGAACUUUGACCUUACUUGUGUAGGAUAGGUGGGAGGCUUUGAAGCUGGAACGCUAGUUCCAGUGGAGCCGUCCUUGAAAUACCACCCUGGUAAUGUUGAGGUUCUAACUCUGUCCCGUGAUCCGGGACGAGGACCGUGUCUGGUGGGUAGUUUGACUGGGGCGGUCUCCUCCUAAAGAGUAACGGAGGAGUACGAAGGUGCGCUCAGCGUGGUCGGAAAUCACGCGUAGAGUAUAAAGGCAAAAGCGCGCUUAACUGCGAGACCCACAAGUCGAGCAGGUACGAAAGUAGGUCUUAGUGAUCCGGUGGUUCUGUAUGGAAGGGCCAUCGCUCAACGGAUAAAAGGUACUCUGGGGAUAACAGGCUGAUACCGCCCAAGAGUUCAUAUCGACGGCGGUGUUUGGCACCUCGAUGUCGGCUCAUCUCAUCCUGGGGCUGAAGCAGGUCCCAAGGGUAUGGCUGUUCGCCAUUUAAAGAGGUACGCGAGCUGGGUUUAGAACGUCGUGAGACAGUUCGGUCCCUAUCUACCGUGGGCGCUGGAAAUUUGAGAGGAUCUGCUCCUAGUACGAGAGGACCAGAGUGGACGAACCUCUGGUGUACCGGUUGUGACGCCAGUCGCAUCGCCGGGUAGCUAUGUUCGGAAGGGAUAACCGCUGAAAGCAUCUAAGCGGGAAGCCUACCUCAAGAUAAGAUUUCCCUAGGACUUUAUGUCCUCUAAAGAGCCGUUCGAGACUAGGACGUUGAUAGGUUGGAUGUGGAAGCAUAGUGAUAUGUGAAGCUGACCAAUACUAAUUGCUCGUGAGGCUUGACUAU